UUGGUGCCUUCGGGAACUCUGAGACAGGUGCUGCAUGGCUGUCGUCAGCUCGUGUUGUGAAAUGUUGGGUUAAGUCCCGCAACGAGCGCAACCCUUAUCCUUUGUUGCCAGCGGUCCGGCCGGGAACUCAAAGGAGACUGCCAGUGAUAAACUGGAGGAAGGUGGGGAUGACGUCAAGUCAUCAUGGCCCUUACGAGUAGGGCUACACACGUGCUACAAUGGCGCAUACAAAGAGAAGCGACCUCGCGAGAGCAAGCGGACCUCAUAAAGUGCGUCGUAGUCCGGAUUGGAGUCUGCAACUCGACUCCAUGAAGUCGGAAUCGCUAGUAAUCGUAGAUCAGAAUGCUACGGUGAAUACGUUCCCGGGCCUUGUACACACCGCCCGUCACACCAUGGGAGUGGGUUGCAAAAGAAGUAGGUAGCUUAACCUUCGGGAGGGCGCUUACCACUUUGUGAUUCAUGACUGGGGUGAAGUCGUAACAAGGUAACCGUAGGGGAACCUGCGGUUGGAUCACCUCCUUA
This 522-nucleotide ribosomal RNA is filed under the name Enterobacter asburiae. RNAcentral describes it as "bacterial SSU rRNA". It matches the Rfam family "Bacterial small subunit ribosomal RNA", at positions 1011 to 1533 of the family's 1533-position model. The record is from RNAcentral. RNAcentral also lists the same sequence under 4 other names. Lineage: Bacteria; Pseudomonadati; Pseudomonadota; Gammaproteobacteria; Enterobacterales; Enterobacteriaceae.